AGUGAACGCUGGCGGUAGGCCUAACACAUGCAAGUCGAACGGCAGCACAGUAAGAGCUUGCUCUUACGGGUGGCGAGUGGCGGACGGGUGCGGAAUACAUCGGAAUCUACUUUUUAGUGGGGGAUAACGUAGGGAAACUUACGCUAAUACCGCAUACGACCUACGGGUGAAAGCAGGGGAUCUUCGGACCUUGCGCGAUUGAAUGAGCCGAUGUCGGAUUAGCUAGUUGGCGGGGUAAAGGCCCACCAAGGCGACGAUCCGUAGCUGGUCUGAGAGGAUGAUCAGCCACACUGGAACUGAGACACGGUCCAGACUCCUACGGGAGGCAGCAGUGGGGAAUAUUGGACAAUGGGCGCAAGCCUGAUCCAGCCAUACCGCGUGGGUGAAGAAGGCCUUCGGGUUGUAAAGCCCUUUUGGUUGGGAAGAAAAGCAGCAGGUUAAUACCCCGCUGUUCUGACGGUACCCAAAGAAUAAGCACCGGCUAACUUCGUG
This 492-nucleotide ribosomal RNA is filed under the name uncultured bacterium. Its description in RNAcentral is "partial 16S ribosomal RNA". It matches the Rfam family "Bacterial small subunit ribosomal RNA", at positions 29 to 507 of the family's 1533-position model. The record is from RNAcentral.